GCUGGGUGUGGUGGCGCAUGCCCAUAGACCCAGCUACUCAGGAGGCUGAGUGGGGAGGAUCACUUGAGCCCAGGAGUUCUGGGCUGUAGUGUGCUAUGCCAAUCAGGUGUCCACACUAAGUUCGGCAUCAAUAUGGUGACCUCCCGGGAGCAGUAACCACCAGGUUGCCUAAGGAGGGUGAACUGGCCCAGGUCAGAAACGGAGCAGGUCAAAACUCCCAUGCUGAUCAGUAGUGGGAUCGCACCUGUGAAUAGCCAUUGCACUCCAGCCUGGGCAAUAUAACGAGACCCUGUCUCUA
Molecule: unclassified non-coding RNA, 298 nt
Organism: Callithrix jacchus (white-tufted-ear marmoset)
Lineage: Eukaryota; Metazoa; Chordata; Mammalia; Primates; Cebidae
Rfam family: Metazoan signal recognition particle RNA
About the family: The signal recognition particle (SRP) is a universally conserved ribonucleoprotein. It is involved in the co-translational targeting of proteins to membranes. The eukaryotic SRP consists of a 300-nucleotide 7S RNA and six proteins: SRPs 72, 68, 54, 19, 14, and 9.
Source: Ensembl